Molecule: long non-coding RNA, 1142 nt
Filed under: Sorghum bicolor (sorghum)
Lineage: Eukaryota; Viridiplantae; Streptophyta; Magnoliopsida; Poales; Poaceae
Description: long non-coding RNA (SBIC_LNC016696)
Source: RNAcentral
ACGAACGACGAACAUGAGCAGCAAGCAACGUGCUGCGAGCGCGACCGAUAACCAUGGCCGCGAGUGUGCGCUGCGGGAGACAAACUAGCGACGAGCGUGUGAUGAAGAGACGAGCGUGCAUCCUAAAAUUAGUACAUGGAAGAUGCAUGGGGACAUGCGAGAACGGGAACGGGCCGAAAGGUGAGGUGUGGCUGUGUUCAUUUGGUGCCCCAUGUGCCCCAUGCAGCCUCGACUCCUUCAAUUCUGGAAACAAGGCACUCACCCACGACGACUUCCUUUACCUAAAUGAAUACGGUAUUAACAUACCAAAUGAAAGAAACACAUUAGAGCAACCAGACGUAAAAAAAAAAGCAAAAAACUGGUGACAUUGAGACGGCAUAUUUAGGAUUAAUGUGGACACCGAUUAGGUCCUAGGAAGUUUAUCAUUAAUUGUACAGUGCAGACCCUGGCGUUCUUUGGAUAGCAACUAGCAUCUCCAACCUAACUACGCAAUAAAAAUGUGAUUUUACAUGGUCGUGUGCGGGUAAACGAAUGGGAACACAGGCUUAAGUCAAAGUGAAUAAAUGAAACACAUAAGGCGAAAAUACUAACACCGUCCAACACUGGUGGAGGUGAAGGGUCUAUAAUGAGAGAUGCGCAACAGUAUGAAACACAUAUAAUAAGAAGUGAGACGAAGAGAAUGGUGAACAGGACAAUAUAACACAUGGAACAGUACGACAUUAUACAUAUUAUUAGAACAAAUUGUUACACAUCGGCAUAACUAAAGAACGACACCAAGCAACUAUUUGGUACACAACAAGUAGGAUCAAAGCUUGCGGACACACAGGACACUUGAUAGGGAUUGGACGACGAGACUGGUACAUGGAAAUGGCAAGGACAUGGGCGGUACAGGAGUACAACAAUGAAAACUAAUUACAUGCACGUAAACUAAAUUUAUUGCUAAUACAUAACUUCGAGACUACUAAAGAGGUAACAGGAUAGCUGAUAAGACGACAACCGGGCUGGAGACGACUUCCAACUAACGAGCAAUCCUACACGUCCACUAUGAAGAAGCUGAUGUGCAGGUGGCCAGCGGUCUCACGGAUGAGGACUACAUAUGUGUCGGAUGCACGGAGCCCGUUGAUGUGCACGAAGUCCAGCCA